This 469-nucleotide long non-coding RNA is filed under the name Salmo salar (Atlantic salmon). Its description in RNAcentral is "lncRNA (ENSSSAG00000103516.1)". The record is from RNAcentral. Lineage: Eukaryota; Metazoa; Chordata; Actinopteri; Salmoniformes; Salmonidae.
AUCAAGCAGCUGUUUCUGUAGUGUAGUGGUUAUCACGUUCGCUUCACACGCCCCUUUUUGGAGUUUCAGGAAGUGGAAGAGAAGCAGGCGUCUGAGUGCUUGAGAGAGAAUAUCGUUUUUUUUGGAGGUCUAGUUGACUUAUAAGUUUGAAAGUUUGUGAGUGACUGUAGUGAAGUUUCUGUGAAACGUUUUUGCUAUUGUCCCCCAUCAGCGUGAGCUGUUUGGGGGAUAUUGCUUAAAAUAACCGGACGGACAACAUGGCUUCGACAUCAAGAAUACAAACGACGACGAGAAAGGACAACAGUGAAAUCAGAAUGUUAAACGAAGAACUGAAAAAAAGAACAUAUGAGAAGGAACUGACGGUGAACGUGGAAAUAAGUGGAGAAGGGAAAAUAACAACGAUGGAAUUGCUGAGAGGAAUAAAGGAAGUUAACAGACACUAAUACCUGCUCAAAUUUGCUCAUGUUUC